Non-coding RNA from Pelobates cultripes (western spadefoot toad), 219 nucleotides. The record is from the annotation of a GenBank genome assembly. Lineage: Eukaryota; Metazoa; Chordata; Amphibia; Anura; Pelobatidae.
CCUCAAUACUGAGUUCUGUCUCUUACUGUAGGGAGCUGCUAUAUCACUACCAGGGAUUGCUAUACUCAUUAUACUCCCUUGGAUAAUCACUAGCUCUUGUAAGAGCUAUUCCUGUUACGCUCUCCUGGAGGAGAGAUCUUUCUCACAUGGUCCUGGAUGUCAGCAGUUGGUCCAGGGUGGGAGGAAGACGGCGAGACUCCAGUUAAGCUACGGCGGUUG